GAUGAACGCUAGCGGCAGGCUUAAUACAUGCAAGUCGUGGGGCAGCAUGAGUAGCAAUACUUGAUGGCGACCGGCAAACGGGUGCGGAACACGUACACAACCUUCCGAUAAGUGGGGAAUAGCCCAGAGAAAUUUGGAUUAAUACCCCGUAACAUAUAGAGUAGGCAUCUUCUUUAUAUUAUAGCUUCGGCGCUUAUUGAUGGGUGUGCGUCUGAUUAGGUAGUUGGCGGGGUAACGGCCCACCAAGCCUACGAUCAGUAGCUGAUGUGAGAGCAUGAUCAGCCACACGGGCACUGAGAGACGGGCCCGACUCCUACGGGAGGCAGCAGUAAGGAGUAUUGGACAAUGGGCGAAAGCCUGAUCCAGCCAUGCCGCGUGAAGGAUUAAGGUCCUCUGGAUUGUAAACUUCUUUUAUUUGGGACGAAAAAAGGGAAUUCUUUCCCACUUGACGGUACCAAGUGAAUAAGCACCGGCUAACUCCGUGCCAGCAGCCGCCGUAA
This 500-nucleotide ribosomal RNA is filed under the name uncultured bacterium. RNAcentral's name for it is "partial 16S ribosomal RNA". It matches the Rfam family "Bacterial small subunit ribosomal RNA", at positions 28 to 523 of the family's 1533-position model. The record is from RNAcentral.